This 563-nucleotide ribosomal RNA is filed under the name Triticum aestivum (bread wheat). RNAcentral describes it as "partial small subunit ribosomal RNA". Lineage: Eukaryota; Viridiplantae; Streptophyta; Magnoliopsida; Poales; Poaceae. The record is from RNAcentral.
CGGCACAAUCAUGGAUGGUAUUAAUUAAGUGGAGACAAGAAAGUGGCAACUAAAACACACAACAAUCAGGAGGAUCGGGUCCUGUCUUGUCCUCGAAAGCACAGCACACACAAGAGAAAAGAGCAGCCUGGACCGGAUCGGACCACAUACAAUGGAGGAAAUGGACAAGACAUGCAUCAGAUCAUACACAACCGCACCGCACUCAUGGCUUCACUCCUUGCUGAAGCACCCGUUCGCCAUGACCUUCCCGAGGACGCACGGAGCGAACAUCAUCAUGUUGAGAGGGCAGGUCUUCCCGAUCUGCACCAGGCAAGCGAUGCAUGCUGCAGGGCACAUCUUGGACCUGAUGAUGUCCUCCAUAAGAGCGAGAGAGGCUCAGCUCGUCGGAUGGUAGGAUGUCGUGGUCGUUGCCGGCCUCGGCUAGCAUCACCAGCUGCCUGCUGAACAGAAGAGCUAGGAGGAGCAUCACCACCACCUUCCGUUCGGCCAUCUUCUUACAGCUAGAGCACGAGUUUGUGUGGCCUGGCUGAGUGGGUGUUUACUUGUGUGCUCUGCUAGCUGUG